AUACUUGGCUGGCAGCGGAGAUUCCAUGCCCGUGCAGGUGGUCUUCCCACGGCAAGGCUUACCCAUUGCACUCCGCACGUGCUGCCCCCUGCCACUUCCCCAAAUGUGGGCAACUCGACUGCACAAUUCGAGGUAGUGGGGGACUGUGUUCGUGCUCUCCCCUC
Ochotona curzoniae (black-lipped pika) is the source of this 164-nucleotide small nuclear RNA. RefSeq annotates it as U1 spliceosomal RNA. The transcript has a single exon. The record is from RefSeq and is a predicted model, not a curated record. Lineage: Eukaryota; Metazoa; Chordata; Mammalia; Lagomorpha; Ochotonidae.